GAGGUUUUGCAUUGACUAUAGAAAACUUAAUUACCUCACUAUUAAAGAUAAAUUUCCAAUCCCAAUUAUAGAUGAUUUACUAGAUGAGCUUCAUGGGGCUUUAAUUUUCUCUAAAAUUGAUUUGAAAGCAGGUAACCAUCAAAUCCGGAUGAAUCCUCAAGGUGUCCAUAGGACAGCUUUUGGGACACAUCAUGGGCACUAUGAAUUUACUGUUAUGCCCCCUUUGGAUUAACUAAUGCACCUGUAACUUUCCAGGAACUCAUGAAUCAUAUCUUCCAACCUUAUUUGAGGAAGUUUGUGCUAGUGUUCUUUGAUGAUAUUUUGAUAUAUAGCUCAUCUUGGGAACAACACUUGCAGCAUUUGGAGCAAGUUUUUCAAAUUUUGAAGCAACAACAGUUAUAUGCCAAGCUUAGUAAGUGCUUCUUUGGCAAAUAUGAAAUUGACUAUUUGGGGCAUGUUAUAUCUGGCAAGGGUGUAGCUACUGACUCCUCUAAGAUUCAAGCAGUUUUGAAAUGGCCAAUUCCCAAAUCUGUCAAGGAACUUAGAAGCUUCCGGGGAUUAACAGGAUAUUACAUAAAAUUUGUUCAGAAUUAUGGCCUCAUCAGUAAGCCAUUAACUGAUAUGUUAAAGAAAGACAAUUUUCUGUGGACUGUAGCAACUCAGCAGGCUUUCGACCAUCUCAGGUCAACCAUGUCUCAGGCUCCUAAAUUUAAUAAGACCUUCAUUAUAGAGACUGAUGCAAGUGGCAGUGGUAUGGGGGCUGUGUUACAGCAGGAGUGACAUCCCAUAGCUUUCAUUUUUAAAGCUUUUGGUCCUAGAACCAAAGCCUUGUCAGUUUAUGAAAGAGAGCUGUUAGCCAUCACCUUUGCUGUUACAAAAUGGAGACACUAUUUAGAGCAAGGGCCUUUUUACUUCAAACUAACCAUGAAAGUAUCGAACAUUUGCUUGAGCAAAGGUUGCACACCAAUUUACAACUUAGGGAAGUAUCUAUGUUGUUGGGAUUGCAAUAUAAAAUUCUAUAUAGAAGAGGAGUAGAUAAUAAGGUUGCUGAUGCUUUGUCUUGAAGGCCUGCAGAUUCUGCUAGUCAUCGGUAUGCCAUUCACUCUUCUUUACAACCAACUUGGAUGGUUCAUUUGUUGAAUAAUUAUGAAGGGGAUGCUAAAGUUACUGAAUUAAUUGCUCAAUUAUCAUUGGAUGAGAAGGCUCAGCCUGGAUUUUCUUACAAGAAUGGGCUAUUAUUUCAUAAGGGCAGGCUGUAUGUGGGUAGUAAUGGGCAUUUGAGGGCACCUUUAUUAGCUCUCUACCACAAUUCUCAUUUAGGGGGGCAUUCUGGAAUCAAUUCUACUUCUAUCAGAUUAAGUAGGCAUUUCUAUUGACCUGGCAUUUUUAAAGCAGUAGUGGAGUGGGUUAAAAGUUGUAAUACAUGACCAGGUGUGAAGCAGAAACUUGUGCUUCCCCUGGUUUGUUGCAGCCACUACCUGUUCCUACUCAGGCUUGGCAACAUUUUACAAUGGAUUUUGUGGAACAAUUGCCUAAAUCUCAGGGCAAAGAUACCAUUUUGGUGGUCAUCUGCAGGUUCACAAAAUAUGCUCAUUUCAUUGCCUUGCAUAUUACCACUGACAGAUAAAAUUUUCACUAGUCUAUUUUGGAAAGAAAUGUUCAAGUUGAUGGGAACUAAGCUUGCUUUUAUAGUUCAGUCUAUCACUCCCAAUCAGAUGGCCAAUCUGAGAGAUUGAAUCAAAGCCUUGAGGGUUAUUUGAGAUGUCUUUGUUAUCAAGCACCACAUUCUUGGUUUAAGUGGCUUGCUUUGGCAGAAUGGUGGUACAACACCAGCCAUCAUAGUGCUUUAAAGAUGACUCCAUUUGAAGCAUUGUAUGGUUACAAGCCUCCUCCUUUGACCUUUCUGCCCAUUCCUAAUACCUCGGUGCAGUAGCUGACUUUAUUCAAGAUAGAUAGCAUAUGUCCCAAGUCAUUAAGGAUAAUUUGCUAGUAGCUCAAAACAGAAUGAAGCAACAUGGUGACAAAAAGAGUUUUUGAAGUAGGAGACUGGGUUUAUCUCAAAUUACAGCCAUACCGAGAGACUUCAGUAGCCGUUAGGAAGAAUCUCCAGUUAGCAGCAAGGUUCUAUGGACUUUAUCAAGUUGAAGCAAAGAUAGGUUCAGUGGCUUAUAAAUUGAAGUUGCCUUCUCAUGCUACCAUUCACUGUGUUUCAUGUCUCUCUCUUGAAGAAGAAGGUUGGGGAAGGUGCGGUGGUUAUGCAGGACUUGCCUAAUUUUCAUGGGACACCGUGGUAGUAGCUCCAGACAAGGUACUGAAGACCAGAAUUAUUACUAGGCAGAACCAACAAGUCCUUCAAGGGCUUAUUAAGUGGCUUUGUCUGCCUGAAGAAGAGGCUACUUGGGAGGAUCAGACCUUCAUCACCUCUCAGUUUCCUGAAUUUACAUCUACUUAUAGGAGGAAGAGGAAUAGGUAGUUA
RNAcentral lists this unclassified non-coding RNA (2476 nucleotides) under Hevea brasiliensis (rubber tree). Lineage: Eukaryota; Viridiplantae; Streptophyta; Magnoliopsida; Malpighiales; Euphorbiaceae. The record is from RNAcentral.